Molecule: ribosomal RNA, 440 nt
Filed under: uncultured bacterium
Lineage: Bacteria
Description: partial 16S ribosomal RNA
Rfam family: Bacterial small subunit ribosomal RNA
Source: RNAcentral
CCUACGGGCGGCAGCAGUAGGGAAUAUUGUUCAAUGGGGGAAACCCUGAAGCAGCAACGCCGCGUGGAGGAUGAAGGUUUUCGGAUUGUAAACUCCUUUUGUUAGAGAAGAUAAUGACGGUAUCUAACGAAUAAGCACCGGCUAACUCCGUGCCAGCAGCCGCGGUAAUACGGAGGGUGCAAGCGUUACUCGGAAUCACUGGGCGUAAGGAGCGCGUAGGCGGGAUAGCAAGUCAGAUGUGAAAUCCUAUGGCUUAACCAUAGAACUGCAUUUGAAACUGUUAUUCUAGAGUAUGGGAGAGGUAGGUGGAAUUCUUGGUGUAGGGGUAAAAUCCGUAGAGAUCAAGAGGAAUACUCAUUGCGAAGGCGACCUGCUAGAACAUAACUGACGCUGAUGCGCGAAAGCGUGGGGAGCAAACAGGAUUAGAUACCUUGGUAGUC